AUUGAACGCUGGCGGCAGGCCUAACACAUGCAAGUCGAACGAGUGGCGGACGGGUGAGUAAUGUCUGGGAAACUGCCUGAUGGAGGGGGAUAACUACUGGAAACGGUAGCUAAUACCGCAUACCAUCGGAUGUGCCCAGAUGGGAUUAGCUAGUAGGUGGGGUAAAGGCUCACCUAGGCGACGAUCCCUAGCUGGUCUGAGAGGAUGACCAGGCACAAUGGAAACGAGGCACGGGCCAGCCUCCUAAGGGAGGCAGGAGGUGGGAAUAUUGCAACAUGGGCGCAAGGCCGAAGCCGGCAUGGCGCGUGUAAGAAGAAGGGCCUCGGGUUGGAAAGUACUUUCAGGCGGGAGGCGUUACCCGCAGAAGAAGCACCGGCUAACUCCGUGCCAGCAGCCGCGGUAAUUC
This 406-nucleotide ribosomal RNA is filed under the name uncultured bacterium. RNAcentral's name for it is "partial 16S ribosomal RNA". It matches the Rfam family "Bacterial small subunit ribosomal RNA", at positions 29 to 526 of the family's 1533-position model. The record is from RNAcentral.